Molecule: ribosomal RNA, 514 nt
Filed under: uncultured bacterium
Lineage: Bacteria
Description: bacterial SSU rRNA
Rfam family: Bacterial small subunit ribosomal RNA
Source: RNAcentral
ACGACGCUGGCGGCGUGCCUAAUACAUGCAAGUCGAACGGUCUUUCUAUGGAAGCUUGCUUCCACUGAGAAGAUAGUGGCGAACGGGUGAGUAACACGUGGGUAACCUGCCCAUAAGAGGGGGAUAACAUCCGGAAACGGGUGCUAAUACCGCAUAGUUUCUUGAUCGCAUGAUUGGGAAAGGAAAGACGGCCUUUGUGCUGUCGCUUAUGGAUGGACCCGCGGCGUAUUAGUUAGUUGGUGAGGUAACGGCUCACCAAGACGAUGAUACGUAGCCGACCUGAGAGGGUGAUCGGCCACAUUGGGACUGAGACACGGCCCAAACUCCUACGGGAGGCAGCAGUAGGGAAUCUUCCGCAAUGGACGAAAGUCUGACGGAGCAACGCCGCGUGAGUGAAGAAAGGUUUUCGGAUCGUAAAACUCUGUUGUCAGAGAAGAACAAGUUGGAGAGUAACUGCUCCAGCCUUGACGGUAUCUGACCAGAAAGCCACGGCUAACUACGUGCCAGCCGCUGC